Molecule: unclassified non-coding RNA, 290 nt
Filed under: soil metagenome
Description: partial internal transcribed spacer 1
Source: RNAcentral
AUAAAUUGAUCAGGCUAGGACCAAUCUCUGGUUCCCGGCCGGUGUUUUCUGCCUGCCAAAAGCGGGCAGCAAAACUCCAACUCAACUGUGAACUGUUUUAUGUCUCUGGCGGUGGGGUUUUGGGGGGGGAGGUCAGCCUCCGCUACUCAAAGCCUGUCAGCAUUGUGGAGGAAGCUGUCAAAAGGUUUCUGCCGCGAUGCCGUGGACAAGCCGUUAACCAUUUUCUCCAACAAACUCUUGUGUUUAGUUUUGUCUCACCUGUUUGUAUUUUUGUAUAAAUAUACUAAAAA